AUUGAACGCUGGCGGAAUGCUUUACACAUGCAAGUCGAACGAUGAACCUUAGCUUGCUAAGGGGAUUAGUGGCGAACAGGUGAGUAAUAUAUCGGAACGUGCCUUGUAAUGGGGGAUAACUAGUCGAAAGAUUGGCUAAUACCGCAUACGCCCUGAGGGGGAAAGUAGGGGAUCUUCGGACCUUACGUUAUAAGAGCGGCCGAUAUCUGAUUAGCUAGUUGGUGGGGUAAUGGCCUACCAAGGCGACGAUCAGUAGCUGGUCUGAGAGGACGACCAGCCACACUGGAACUGAGACACGGUCCAGACUCCUACGGGAGGCAGCAGUGGGGAAUUUUGGACAAUGGGCGAAAGCCUGAUCCAGCCAUUCCGCGUGAGUGAAGAAGGCCUUCGGGUUGUAAAGCUCUUUCGCAAGGGAAGAAAACUUACAUUCUAAUAAAGUGUGAGGCUGACGGUACCUUGAUAAGAAGCACCGGCUAACUACGUGCCAGCAGCCGCGGUAAUACGUAGGGUGCGAGCGUUAAUCGGAAUUACUGGGCGUAAAGCGUGCGCAGGCGGUUUGGCAAGUCAGAUGUGAAAUCCCCGAGCUCAACUUGGGAACUGCGUUUGAAACUGCCAGACUAGAAUAUGUCAGAGGGGGGUAGAAUUCCACGUGUAGCAGUGAAAUGCGUAGAGAUGUGGAGGAAUACCAAUGGCGAAGGCAGCCCCCUGGGAUAAUAUUGACGCUCAUGCAUGAAAGCGUGGGGAGCAAACAGG
This 753-nucleotide ribosomal RNA is filed under the name uncultured Methylophilaceae bacterium. RNAcentral's name for it is "bacterial SSU rRNA". It matches the Rfam family "Bacterial small subunit ribosomal RNA", at positions 28 to 776 of the family's 1533-position model. Lineage: Bacteria; Pseudomonadati; Pseudomonadota; Betaproteobacteria; Nitrosomonadales; Methylophilaceae. The record is from RNAcentral.